AGAGUUUGAUCAUGGCUCAGGACGAACGCUGGCGGUGUGCUUAAGACAUGCAAGUCGUGCGGACCGUAGCAAUACGGUCAGCGGCGGACGGGUGAGUAACACGUGGAUAACCUGCCUGACUCCCCGGGAUAACAGGCCGAAAGGCCUGCUAAUACCGGGUAAGCUCACGGGGCCGCAUGGUCCUGGGAGAAAAGCUCCUGCAAGGGAGUGGGGUCAGAGGGGUCCGCGGCCCAUUAGCUAGUUGGGGGGGUAACGGCCCACCAAGGCGACGAUGGGUAGCCGGCCUGAGAGGGCGACCGGCCACACUGGGACUGAGACACGGCCCAGACUCCUACGGGAGGCAGCAGUCGGGAAUUUUGGGCAAUGGCCGAAAGGGCUGACCCAGCAACACCGCGUGAGUGAAGAAGGCCUUCGGGUUGUAAAGCUCUGUUGCCCGUGAAGAACGGUACUAUCAGGAAAUGGGUAGUACUUGACGGUAGCGGGUGAGGAAGCUCCGGCUAACUACGUGCCAGCAGCCGCGGUAAUACGUAGGGAGCGAGCGUUGUCCGGAUUUAUUGGGCGUAAAGGGCGUGUAGGCGGCUUUUUAAGUCUGAAGUGAAACGCCAGGGCUCAACCCUGGAACUGCUUCGGAUACUGGGAAGCUUGAGUACUCUAGAGGGCAGUGGAAUUCCGGGUGUAGCAGUGAAAUGCGUAGAGAUCCGGAGGAACACCAGUGGCGAAGGCGACUGCCUGGGGAGAAACUGACGCUGAGGCGCGAAAGCUGGGGGAGCAAACGGGAUUAGAUACCCCGGUAGUCCCAGCCGUAAACGAUGAGUGCUAGGUGUAGGGGGUAUCGACCCCCCCUGUGCCGGAGUUAACGCAAUAAGCACUCCGCCUGGGGAGUACGGCCGCAAGGUUGAACUCAAUGAAUUGACGG
Molecule: ribosomal RNA, 916 nt
Filed under: uncultured bacterium
Lineage: Bacteria
Description: bacterial SSU rRNA
Rfam family: Bacterial small subunit ribosomal RNA
Source: RNAcentral